Molecule: ribosomal RNA, 1508 nt
Filed under: metagenome
Description: bacterial SSU rRNA
Rfam family: Bacterial small subunit ribosomal RNA
Source: RNAcentral
AGAGUUUGAUCCUGGCUCAGGACGAACGCUGGCGGCGUGCCUAAUACAUGCAAGUCGAGCGGACAGAUGGGAGCUUGCUCCCUGAUGUUAGCGGCGGACGGGUGAGUAACACGUGGGUAACCUGCCUGUAAGACUGGGAUAACUCCGGGAAACCGGGGCUAAUACCGGAUGGUUGUUUGAACCGCAUGGUUCAAACAUAAAAGGUGGCUUCGGCUACCACUUACAGAUGGACCCGCGGCGCAUUAGCUAGUUGGUGAGGUAACGGCUCACCAAGGCGACGAUGCGUAGCCGACCUGAGAGGGUGAUCGGCCACACUGGGACUGAGACACGGCCCAGACUCCUACGGGAGGCAGCAGUAGGGAAUCUUCCGCAAUGGACGAAAGUCUGACGGAGCAACGCCGCGUGAGUGAUGAAGGUUUUCGGAUCGUAAAGCUCUGUUGUUAGGGAAGAACAAGUACCGUUCGAAUAGGGCGGUACCUUGACGGUACCUAACCAGAAAGCCACGGCUAACUACGUGCCAGCAGCCGCGGUAAUACGUAGGUGGCAAGCGUUGUCCGGAAUUAUUGGGCGUAAAGGGCUCGCAGGCGGUUUCUUAAGUCUGAUGUGAAAGCCCCCGGCUCAACCGGGGAGGGUCAUUGGAAACUGGGGAACUUGAGUGCAGAAGAGGAGAGUGGAAUUCCACGUGUAGCGGUGAAAUGCGUAGAGAUGUGGAGGAACACCAGUGGCGAAGGCGACUCUCUGGUCUGUAACUGACGCUGAGGAGCGAAAGCGUGGGGAGCGAACAGGAUUAGAUACCCUGGUAGUCCACGCCGUAAACGAUGAGUGCUAAGUGUUAGGGGGUUUCCGCCCCUUAGUGCUGCAGCUAACGCAUUAAGCACUCCGCCUGGGGAGUACGGUCGCAAGACUGAAACUCAAAGGAAUUGACGGGGGCCCGCACAAGCGGUGGAGCAUGUGGUUUAAUUCGAAGCAACGCGAAGAACCUUACCAGGUCUUGACAUCCUCUGACAAUCCUAGAGAUAGGACGUCCCCUUCGGGGGCAGAGUGACAGGUGGUGCAUGGUUGUCGUCAGCUCGUGUCGUGAGAUGUUGGGUUAAGUCCCGCAACGAGCGCAACCCUUGAUCUUAGUUGCCAGCAUUCAGUUGGGCACUCUAAGGUGACUGCCGGUGACAAACCGGAGGAAGGUGGGGAUGACGUCAAAUCAUCAUGCCCCUUAUGACCUGGGCUACACACGUGCUACAAUGGACAGAACAAAGGGCAGCGAAACCGCGAGGUUAAGCCAAUCCCACAAAUCUGUUCUCAGUUCGGAUCGCAGUCUGCAACUCGACUGCGUGAAGCUGGAAUCGCUAGUAAUCGCGGAUCAGCACGCCGCGGUGAAUACGUUCCCGGGCCUUGUACACACCGCCCGUCACACCACGAGAGUUUGUAACACCCGAAGUCGGUGAGGUAACCUUUUAGGAGCCAGCCGCCGAAGGUGGGACAGAUGAUUGGGGUGAAGUCGUAACAAGGUA